This 163-nucleotide small RNA is filed under the name Chrysemys picta bellii (western painted turtle). RNAcentral describes it as "TUC338 (ENSCPBG00000010871.1)". The record is from RNAcentral. Lineage: Eukaryota; Metazoa; Chordata; Testudines; Emydidae.
UCAAAUUCACAACUCUGAGGUCCUCUGUUUAUCCACAGAAUAGGUACAACACAGUCAGGAGCAAUACAAAUUGCCCUACAGUACUCCAUCAGGGUGCUUCAACUUUCACUUGGAGGGUAGAGAAAUUAUUUCAGUCUGCAUACAUAUUCGAUCUUGGGCCUCU